This 501-nucleotide ribosomal RNA is filed under the name uncultured bacterium. RNAcentral describes it as "partial 16S ribosomal RNA". It matches the Rfam family "Bacterial small subunit ribosomal RNA", at positions 30 to 523 of the family's 1533-position model. The record is from RNAcentral.
AUUGAACGCUGGCGGCAGGCUUAACACAUGCAAGUCGAGCGGAGAUGAGGUGCUUGCACCUUAUCUUAGCGGCGGACGGGUGAGUAAUGCUUAGGAAUCUGCCUAUUAGUGGGGGACAACAUUCCGAAAGGAAUGCUAAUACCGCAUACGUCCUACGGGAGAAAGCAGGGGAUCUUCGGAUCUUGCGCUAAUAGAUGAGCCUAAGCCGGAUUAGCUAGUUGGUGGGGUAAAGGCCUACCAAGGCGACGAUCUGUAGCGGGUCUGAGAGGAUGAUCCGCCACACUGGGACUGAGACGCGGCCCAGACUCCUACGGGAGGCAGCAGUGGGGAAUAUUGGACAAUGGGGGAAACCCUGAUCCAGCCAUGCCGCGUGUGUGAAGAAGGCCUUAUGGUUGUAAAGCACUUUAAGCGAGGAGGAGGCUACUGAGACUAAUACUCUUGGAUAGUGGACGUUACUCGCAGAAUAAGCACCGGCUAACUCUGUGCCAGCCGCCGCAGUAA